This 117-nucleotide ribosomal RNA is filed under the name Streptomyces sp. PVA_94-07. The record is from RNAcentral. Lineage: Bacteria; Bacillati; Actinomycetota; Actinomycetes; Kitasatosporales; Streptomycetaceae.
AGGCCGUCCUCGGCGCCCACACCCUCGGUUUCAACAGCAACAGCACGGGCAUCGCCGUCCUGGGAAGCUACAGCAGCGUCAAACCGCCCAAGGCGGCCGUCGACGCCGUGGCCAAGC